This is a non-coding RNA of Podarcis lilfordi (Lilford's wall lizard), 69 nucleotides long. Lineage: Eukaryota; Metazoa; Chordata; Lepidosauria; Squamata; Lacertidae. The record is from the annotation of a GenBank genome assembly.
GUUGUCGCUCGGUGGUAGAACAUCUGCUUUGAGUGCAGAAGGUCCCAGGUUCGAUUUCUGCCUGAAAUC